RNAcentral lists this transfer-messenger RNA (345 nucleotides) under bovine gut metagenome. It matches the Rfam family "transfer-messenger RNA". From Rfam's summary of the family: Bacterial tmRNA, also known as 10Sa RNA or SsrA, is named for its dual tRNA and mRNA-like properties. The record is from RNAcentral.
GGGCUUGUACUGGUUUCGACGGGGGUUUUGAAGUCGAGGAAGCCAUCCGCGGUUCCGGACCGCGUUAAAACCGGAAAAACCUAAAUUUAACUGACAACAACAGAGUUGCAGUAGCGGCUUAAUCCGCUCGUCGGCCUGAGAUUACCCGUGCUCUCAGAUCACCGGCGUCAUAAUCACGGGAAACGACACAGACAAAGCUUUGAGUCUGCGGGCGUAAUAUGAAGCUACCAAGGCACUGAGGCCGCUGCCGGCCGCCCUGCCGAGGGAAUGUAAAGCGGCAGCUGUGAUGGGAGAUGCCUUGAGGGAUAGGCUUUCGGACGCGGGUUCGAUUCCCGCCAGGUCCAC